CCUGUCAUCGUCUAGUGGUUAGGACACCAGGUUUUGACUGACACCUGGCCCACCUAGCCCUCUUGGUCCACGUUCCUGGUAACUUGGGUUCGACUCCCAAUGACAGGU
This is a transfer RNA of Puccinia sorghi, 108 nucleotides long. It matches the Rfam family "tRNA". From Rfam's summary of the family: Transfer RNA (tRNA) molecules are approximately 80 nucleotides in length. Their secondary structure includes four short double-helical elements and three loops (D, anti-codon, and T loops). NCBI's taxonomy places the organism in Eukaryota, Fungi, Basidiomycota, Pucciniomycetes, Pucciniales, Pucciniaceae. The record is from Rfam.